Molecule: ribosomal RNA, 387 nt
Filed under: uncultured eukaryote
Lineage: Eukaryota
Description: partial 18S ribosomal RNA
Rfam family: Eukaryotic small subunit ribosomal RNA
Source: RNAcentral
CAAUAGCGUAUACUAAAGUUGUUGCAGUUAAAAAGCUCGUAGUUGGAUUUCUGGCUCGGCAAGCCUAGCCCGAGGACCUGGUGUCCUUGUGAGCUGGCGCUUGUCGGCCAUCCUUCAGGAGAGUGUUUCUGCCCUUGAUUGGGUUGGGGACAGGAUCCUGAUCGUUUACUUUGAAAAAAUUAGAGUGUUCAAAGCAGGCGUGUGCUGUGAAUACAUUAGCAUGGAAUAAUAAGAUAGGACUUCGGCCCUAUUUUGUUGGUUCUGGAGCUGAGGCAAUGAUUGAUAGGGAUAGUUGGGGGUGCUCGUAUUCAACGGCCAGAGGUGAAAUUCUUGGAUUCGUUGAAGACGAACUUAUGCGAAAGCAUUCACCAAGGAUGUCUUCUUUAA